GGGGGUAUAGCUCAGCUGGAAGAGCGCUGCCUUUGCAAGGCAGAUGUCAGCGGUUCAAGUCCGCUUAUCUCCA
RNAcentral lists this transfer RNA (73 nucleotides) under Olisthodiscus luteus. RNAcentral describes it as "tRNA-Ala". It matches the Rfam family "tRNA". Rfam says of the family: Transfer RNA (tRNA) molecules are approximately 80 nucleotides in length. Lineage: Eukaryota; Olisthodiscophyceae; Olisthodiscaceae. The record is from RNAcentral.